AGGGGCAUCCCUUGGAUAUCAAAGAUUAUAUCGCUGGAAGAUGGCUCGCGUCUGAUUAGCUAGAUGGUGGGGUAACGGCCCACCAUGGCGACGAUCAGUAGCCGGACUGAGAGGUUGACCGGCCACAUUGGGACUGAGAUACGGCCCAGACUCCUACGGGAGGCAGCAGUGGGGAAUAUUGGGCAAUGGACGCAAGUCUGACCCAGCAACGCCGCGUGAAGGAAGAAGGCUUUCGGGUUGUAAACUUCUUUUGUCAGGGAACAGUAGAAGAGGGUACCUGACGAAUAAGCCACGGCUAACUAC
Molecule: ribosomal RNA, 303 nt
Filed under: uncultured bacterium
Lineage: Bacteria
Description: bacterial SSU rRNA
Rfam family: Bacterial small subunit ribosomal RNA
Source: RNAcentral